Molecule: ribosomal RNA, 463 nt
Filed under: uncultured organism
Description: bacterial SSU rRNA
Rfam family: Bacterial small subunit ribosomal RNA
Source: RNAcentral
GACGAACGCUGGCGGCGUGCUUAACACAUGCAAGUCGAACGGUAAGGCCCUUCGGGGUACACGAGUGGCGAACGGGUGAGUAACGCGUGAGUAACCUGCCCUUGACUCUGGGAUAACAGAUGGAAACGUCUGCUAAUACCGGAUAUACAGCCUUGCUGGCAUCAGCGGGGUUGAAAAGUUCCGGCGGUCAAGGAUGGACUCGCGUCCUAUCAGCUUGUUGGUGAGGUAAUGGCUCACCAAGGCGACGACGGGUAGCCGGCCUGAGAGGGCGACCGGCCACAUUGGGACUGAGAUACGGCCCAAACUCCUACGGGAGGCAGCAGUGGGGAAUAUUGCACAAUGGGCGAAAGCCUGAUGCAGCAACGCCGCGUGCGGGAUGACGGCCUUCGGGUUGUAAACCGCUUUCAGCAGGGACGAAGCGCAAGUGACGGUACCUGCAAAAGAAGCACCGGCUAACUACGUG